Molecule: non-coding RNA, 8985 nt
Organism: Zootoca vivipara (common lizard)
Lineage: Eukaryota; Metazoa; Chordata; Lepidosauria; Squamata; Lacertidae
Source: RefSeq, a predicted model, not a curated record
AGGGAGGCCUGGAUGGACCUCGCUGUAAACAUGGCUAAAGAAGCACUAGAGAGUGGUGAAGUACCUGUUGGUUGCCUCAUGGUCUACAAUAAUGAGAUCAUAGGGAAGGGAAAGAAUGAAGUUAAUGAAACUAAAAAUGAAAAGUUGCAGUUUACUGACAGUAUUCCAUUCACAAAAUGCAUGCAUGUUUUUUUUGUGGCUGUGGUUUUUUUAAGCUCUGGUAUCUGUGCCUGAGUACAAAAUGUGAGAGAUGAUCUUGAGCUGGAUUGUACGGUAUGUUGAACGGCAUAAUAGACUUGUUUUAAUCUGCAGCUGGGGGAGUUUUCCUUUUGGAUAGUGCAGCCAAUACUUCUCUGAGGUGACCCUUCUGAAUUGUCUGGCAGGAGGUGGAGCAAAUAUUACCAGCAUGUUUUUCCCUCUGGCAGCUUCCUUGCCUGCUCUUGUUUUCCCUCCAACAUGCUUCUGUUUCUGUUUGAACGUGCACUGUUCUUUUUGGCUGUAACAGUUAUCUGGCAUGCUAAACCUCACUUGCAAGCAUAACCUGCCCACCCACCUGGUUUGCCCUUGAAGAUGUUUCAGCGAUAACCUCUGGCAUCCAGUUUGGUCAUCUGAGUAUGCAUAUAUUACAUAGCACAGCAAAGCUAACAGAGCUCUAUGAGCUGCUCAUGAUCAAGGGCAAAAUUCAAAGCAUCAAGGUAACAGUGUAACAAUAUUACCUUGGUAGAAGGGAGACCAAGUACUUCCAUGGAUUGUGCAUGUGGUGAUGGCAAUAUCACCGCACAGGAUGCAUAUUAGGAUGCAUUAUUUCAAAUAAACUGUGUCCAAGAUAUGUAGGACUUCUAUGAUCAAACUUUUACAUGUGUGUGUGGGAGUUCCUAUGUCUGUUCACCUCCUGAGAAGUAAGAUAUUUUGUGUAGAGACAAUUGUGCACUGCCCUGAACACGUGCUUAACUUAUCCUAUACCCACAAAUACACUCUCUCACAGAAUUGCUCCAAAAAGAGUUAAUUUAUAGAAAAAUAACAAGAUAUUUCUAAUAAGAAUUAGCUAGUGUGGUAAAGCAUGAAAUCACGGUGCAUUUAAACCAGUAUCCUAACACAUUAACUCAAGGACAAAAGUGGUAAGGACCUAACAGAAGCAGAAGACAUCAAGAAGAGGUGGCAAGAAUACACAGAGGAAUUAUACCAGAAAGAUAUGGAGGUCUCGUACACCUCAGGUAGUGUGGUUGCUGACCUUGAGCCAGACAUCUUGGAGAGUGAAGUCAAAUGGGCCUUAGAAAGCACUGCUAAUAACAAGGCCAGUGGAAGUGAUGAUAUUCCAGCUGAACUAUUUAAAAUUUUAAAAGAUGAUGCUGUUAAGGUGCUACACCCAAUAUGCCAGCAAGUUUGGAAAACUCAGCAAUGGCCAGAGGAUUGGAGAAGAUCAGUCUACAUCCCAAUCCCAAAGAAGGGCAGUGCCAAAGAAUGCUCCAACUACCGCACAAUUGAUGCUUUUGAAUUAUGGUGCUGGAGGAGACUCUUGAGAGUCCCAUGGACUGCAAGAAGAUCAAACCUAUCCAUUCUUAAGGAAAUCAGCCCUGAGUGCUCCCUGGAAGGACAGAUCGUGAAGCUGAGGCUCCAAUACUUUGGCCACCUCAUGAGAAGAGAAGAAUCCUUGGAAAAGACCCUGAUGUUGGGAAAGAUGGAGGGCACUAGGAGAAGGGGACGUCAGAGGACAAGAUGGUUGGACAGUGUUCUCGAAGCUACGAACAUGAGUUUGACCAAACUGCGGGAGGCAGUGCAAGACAGGAGUGCCUGGCGUGCUAUGGUCCAUGGGGUCACGAAGAGUCGGACACGACUAAACGACUAAACAACAACAACAACACAUUAACACUCCCUGUCUGACAGUCUGUCCCUUGUUUUAUAGGACUAGCAUGAUGAUAAGAAUAGUUUCAAAUGCAUAUAUACCUUAAAUUCCCCCUUAGUUACUGCUGUAGUGAAGUAGUUGCCCAUUCCCACCCUUGGAGGCUAUCAGCGUAGCUGGAGGGGCUAAAGAAUAAGAUGUGUGUGGCAAAUUCAUUCACAAGAAUGGGUUCCAUGUGAGUCCCCACAAGGAGGAGAUUGGGAGGGAAAAAGCUGUGCUGCAAUAGCACACCUCUCCUCCAAUAUGCGGAUCAUGACUGGAUUCAUAAAAGGGAAGUACAAGAACUGAUAGGGCUAUUAGGUGUGUAGGGGUGCUGUGAACUGCCCUGAAAUCUUCGGAUGGGCAGUAAACAAAUUUUAAUAAUAAUAAUAAUAAUAAUAAUAAUAAUAAUAAUAAUAAUAGUGUUAGCUCUGGGAGAAAGAAGGUGGCUGAACAUUUCCUGGAGUGCUUGACGCUGUUCAUGGUGUCUGCUGAUCCUGAUCUUUUGGAAGGCUGGCUAAAAUAUACAUUCAUUUGCAAAGCUGUCUUAUAACAUUGGUUUACAGACAAAUGCAUAAGAUACUAAUAAUUCUGUUAUCAGUUAUUAUUUUUUUUAGAUCUCUACUUUGAUCUGAAAUCAUUUGUGGAACAAGUUAUUGCAAGGCAAACAGUCUACCUACCUGAAGGGAUUUAAAACAAUGUUCAUAAAACUUUAGCAUAUUAAGUCAGAACAGUAAUAAAUCUACCCAAUGAUUAAUUUGCUUUCUGUCUUUGAUCGCUAUCUUAACAGCAAGAGAGUGGUAAAGAAGUGGAAUUCAAUGAAAUAUAUAAGCUUCAUUUAUCUUAAACAAAGCAGCCUUAAAAAGCCUUAAACUUCUCUUAUCAAAAUAUGUUUUCUGUUUUGUCACUAAAUGGUAUAUUAAAGCAUUUAGGCUAGUGCACCAACUGCAGUUCCUAUCCAUGCUCUUGUUAAUAUCCUAUUCAGGCAAGUAUAAUGUUUUGUACAUGGGGUUGUAUUUGAGGAAUGGACAUAACAGUAAGUUCAUUAUGCAGUGGCUAGACUGCUAAGUGAGAACUGACAUCCAGAUCAUAACUUGCCAGCCUUGAAAUAACUGCUCCAAAUCUAUUUCUGAGCACAAUCCUUUGGGCUGGUUUUAGUCUCUAAAGGCUGAAAUGACUUUGAAUCUUGGGUACCUUCUCCUACUUGAAUCUGUUCAAAUAUGACAAUGAUCCUCAGAGCCUUUUCUCUGGUCCUACUGCCAUUGGAGGUGAAGCCAGAUCAAGGGUUGUAGCCUCCGAGCACUGAAGUGUUUAAGUGUUUUCCCCAGAGACAUUGAGUCUGCUCUUUUUAUCUUCCCAAAUCUUUAAAUUCUUGUUUUUUGAAUCCUGUUCCCCCCCCCUCUCUCUCUCUCUGUGUGUGUGUGUGUGUGUCUUGUUGUUCCUAUUUUAAAUGAAUUUUUAUGUAAGCCUUGUCAGCUUAUGAGCAGGGUAAAGAAUACCAAAAUGUAAAUAAAUGAAUGAAAUGGAGGUAUUUGGUCUGUCUGUGAACAAUACUGACAUUCUGUUGAGCCUAGGAGCAUUUUCAAAUGCUCCUAAUUUAAAGUGACUAUCGAUAGAAUAUGUGAACAUGCCUAAAGCUGUUGAAAGAGGGAUGGUGUCUUCUGUGGUAUCCUUUGAGCUCUUAUGACUAGUAGGUCUCAUCGCCUCCCUCAUAUUUAUUCAUAGACUGAGUUAGAUACAAAAUAUGGAUGUUGAUAUCUUGACAAGUAGGAAAAGCAUUUUGCCUGUAGCUGAGCAUUUCUACCCAACUGGCCACUUUCUGUCUGACCUCUCUGUCCUUGCAUAAAUGUGAAUCUGGGUAAAAACCGGAAUGUUUUCAAUAAUGGAAAAGCUGAUUAACAUAACAUUUGUUAACCGAGGAUAAAGAGAAACAGAUGUAUUGUGUGUUUUCCCUUUAUAACAGAUGUUGAUAAGGAAGAACCUUUCAAUAAAGUGCCAACAACAUACACUGCUUUUCUAUUUUACAAGAGGAAAUUUACUUCUUUGAAAUGAAAUUUCUGCAGUUAUUAGGGCCAUCUUCUAUAUGGUUUUAGUUGUUAAGCUUUGGCAUCACUGAAGAUCCUACCCUAUUGCCUUCCUACUAAAAGUAGCAGGAAUCCAUCCAUUCAGAUCGAUACAUUACUAUUUGGUGUAAACACUGAUGUUAUUUCCCUGUAUCCCCACAGGCUACUCGCCAUGCAGAAAUGGUAGCAAUUGAUCAGGUCAUGGACUGGUGUCGUCAGAACAAGAAGGAACCCAAGGAAGUAUUUGUGAACACAGUGCUAUAUGUCACUGUUGAGCCCUGUAUAAUGUGUGCAGCUGCUCUGCGAAUGAUGAGUAUCCUUUGGAAAAUUAUCCAUUGGUGUGCUAAUUUCAUCUCGCGUAUCGGUUGCUAACAAGCUAACAGAGGGCAGCUCUUUGUUGCCAUGAGGUCUGUGUCAUUGGGUCUAAGGGGAUUCGUUUGUGCAGAGAUGAUGGGCGUAAGGAGAGCUGUGCUGGACAAGUUCAAAGACGUAACUUGUCCAGCAUCUGUUUCCUACUGUGCUGAGCCAGAUCCUAAGAAAGCCAACAAGCAGAGUGCAUUGCUAUGUCCCUCUCCCUCUGUUAUUCCCCAGGUUCUGGACCUAUGGAGAAGAAGUUUAAUUUAGCAAGUAUUUGUGUGGGUGAGUCGAAGCAAGGAAUGGGUGUCGGGUGUAGCCAAAGCUACAAUGAAGCAGGGUGAGGCAGCUUGCAUCAGGUGGCAGUCUUUGGGGUUAUCAUGACUUAGUUUAUAAUUAUUACCUUCCCUGUGUGGUGCUUGUGCCUCAGGGGCCUAAGUGUAUUGUGCCAUCUCUGCUCUGGGUUAGGAUAGGGUUGUAAUAUUUCAAUAAGUAAAAUUCCUGACACCAGCAAAGUGGUUGAGCAAGCAUAACCUGCCCACCCAGCUGGUUUGCUCUUGAGGACCCCAACAUUGUUUAGCUUUCUUUGGGAACAAACCUACAUUGCUGAGCUUUUGGGGGGAAACCUCCCCUCCCCCCAAAAAUAGUGACUUUAAGCUUCUGGAGCUGUUUCCACUGCUUUCCCCCCCCAUCACGUUGCCAUACAUCUGGGUUUUCCCUGACAUUUUGACCCCCCCCCCCCGGACAUAAUCUUUACACCCGAAAACCAGGAUAUGUCAGGAAUUUUCCUGACAUAUGGCAAGCCUAGGUUAAGAAAUUUGGAAAGGAUACAGUAGUGGUAGUUAUUUCUCUCUCAGAUUGUGGGGAACAGUGAAUUAGCAGCAAAUGAGUUGAAUUGAGUGGGGGAAGUUUUGCCCAGAGAUAUGACCAGGCAGUAGUGUGUCUGUGGAAAAGAGGCAUUUUUGAGACCAGCACAACUAUAUAACCUAUUAAAUGAGGGUAAUUCUAUUCUAUACUCCUUCUUUUCUUAACUUACAUAUAUAAAUCCCACUGGUUGUAUAUGGCUGCCAAAAUGAACGAUUCGGAGGCUGUGGUUCGGUUUUGAACAUCUCUUAUGCUACCUUAACGGACACAGGGGAACCAUUCCAGUUGAACACAGUGAUGUCAGAAGUCACACCUGCUGAAGUUCUUUAUGCUACUAAAGAGUCAGAUAACCUCUUUGGGAUACAUGGUUAAUCUGGGAGGCCUUAUGAACAAAAUAUUCCAAUCUCUACAGUGCAUAGCUGGUUAUCGAUCUGAAGAAGCAGUUGAAAUGCUGAAAACCUUCUACAGACAAGAAAAUCCAAAUGCACCAAAAUCAAAAGUUCGAAGAAAGGAAUGCAGUAAAUGAGUGGUUGUGAUGGAUAGUAAAGCAAAACUGGAAGAAUGACAAGUCUUUGAAAAGGCUGGCUAGUAUUGACCUUCCCUCAGCUAUGGUAUUUAGCCCUGAGAGGUGGAGAAAAGCAUGUCUGUUACUCUGUAAAAUGUCCAAAAGUAUCACUGAUUGAAAGAUAAUAAUCAAAUUGUCAAAUAUGGCUUUUGGUUAAAAUGUUUGGCUUUUUAUAAGGAACAAUAGAAAGGAGGGGUAUCCUUCAAUAAUUAAAUAGUUAAGAUGACACUGUUGUAGCCCUACUAAUUUUGAACUGAUCAGCUGGAAGACCAACUACCCCAAGUCCUUAGUUUGGCAGGUAUGCUGACUUCUUGCCACUGAUGCCAGACACAUACUGGCCAGUGCACAUACAAAGUUCUGUUUGCAUUUAAACCACUUAACAACAUACAAAAAUUCAGUGGUCUCAGAGUUCUGCAUGCCCCAUCUGCCAGAACAGAACCACCACAUCCACUCAUGGCACCAACAGCUAGAAACCUUUGUGAGCAGUGGCUGUUAUGUCGAAAACUGUCAUGAGGACGUGUCUUAUUAGCUCUAGGACAUACAUAGCUGUCAUAUUGAGUCAGACCAUUGGUCUCUCUAGGCCAGGAUUAAGUAUUCUGAUUGGCAACACCUACGGGGUACUUAACUGGAAACAGAGGGAUGAAGUUGGGACCUUCUUCCCAUAAAACGUGCUCUUCCACUAUGCUGCAGCCCUUUCCCUUGUAUCCUAGACAGAUUUAUGGUUGGUAUUACUUAAAAGUAAACCUGCUUUCCUCAUCACUUUGUAGCGCACGUUUCCAAUGUAUACAUAAUUUGGAGGAAUUUGAAGGUAAGCUAGCAAAUCCCAGACAACGGCUUGUUUAUCUUGAGCUCAGUUAAGACAUUCAUGAUUAAGAAAGCUUAGCUAUGGUUUGUUCAUGAUGUCUGAGUUGACAAACCAUGGUUUAUGACCAUGUUUGGUCAUGUGUACUUUCUCAGGUAACGUUGCCACUACAGUUAGCAAACAGUUUAUUAUUACUGUAUAUUCCUACGUAUAAGACUACUUUUUAACCCAGAAAAAUCAUCUCAAAAUUUGAGGGUUGUCUUAUACUCUGGGUCGUAUUUCUUAUACAACGAGUAUAUCCCAAACUCUAUAUUUUAACUGGAAAAGUUGGGGGUCGUCUUAUACGUCCAGUCGUCUUAUACGCUGGAAUAUACGGUAUAUGCUUGUGAUAGAAAACUGCCUUGAAAACGGAAGUCUAGCAUACCCAGUAUUUUUUGAAUGAAUAUUCUGUUUCAUAAGAUUUAUAUAUUGCUUUAUUGUAGUAGUAGUAGUAGUAAUAAUAAUAAUAAUAAUAAUAAUAAUAAUAAUAAUAAUAGGUCAAAGAGGAAUAUCGAGAAGUAGAUUUCCAGAGGAACUUUUCUUAGUAUAAGGUAACUAGGCAGGAAAAUGCCUAAAUCUCAGAGCUGGCACUUCAGUGCUUAUUGGGUUGUUCCUUGAUCGUAUUAUGAUUACACUCCAGAAGAGGGCCUUGCUGUUCUAAUAAUGAAUGGCCCAGCAGUUUGACAUGGAGCUCUUAUUCCUGCAGAAUGUGCAUGCUGAGCAACUCAGCAGGCUGGGAAGCAGUCAAGCAGUGCCUUAUAGAUUUGUAUAUUAUGGACAAUUCCAAUAGUUAGACAAGUCAGAACCACAGUUGUUGCACUAUUUUUAUUUCUCUAUUAAAUAGAUAAACAAAUUCUGAAAUAGGGUGAAACCUGUCCCCCCUCCACGUUAUUAUGAGCCUUCAUAUCUCUACGCAGGCACAACAAGAAGCAUAAAUAUGAACAACAAACAAAUGAAAGGCUUAUUGAACCAAUAUUGAAAGCCUUGUUGUAGCCUCAUCAGUUCUUCCCUUUGCAUACAACAAAGUGACACUCUUACAAGGCAGCUAUUUAAAGAAGCAAGUUGCUCCUUAUAAUUUAAACAUUUGAAAGUCUGCAGGGCUCUCCAUUCAAAUACUGUAUAUGCAACGUGGCCUUUAAUUACCUUGGCAGGUUUUGAGCGCUGAUAAAAGAUUGUAUUUUUAAAAAACCUCCCCCAAAAGUGUCCAAUGGUUGGCAGGCAAUCCAUUCCAGGGUUGUAUUUGGAGCAAGACUAGCAGGAGAGCUUUCAGCUAAGGGCUCAGUUUAAACAGCAACUGUUAGGUUUUUAAAGAAAAUGGCUUUGACACAAACGGGGAAAGAGCUCCGAGGACAAUUAGAGUCCCAGAAGCAGCUGUUUUAUUAAUUUGCUUUGCCUUGUGUGUAGCCUUGGCUGCUGGUUCUAUCUACUUUUAUCAAUAAAGUACAUCUAGAAACAGGACACUUCCCACUGAAAUAUAUUCUCCAACAUGACUUUUGUUUUUAGGCUGUUUUCACACACACACACACACACACACACACACACACACACACUUUUUAGUGUGUGUAAAAAAGAGAGAAAUGCCAAGAAAUAUCAGCUAAGAUCCAAAGAACCACAGAAAUGUAAGAAAUCAAGCAACAGAUCUCUCUCCUGCAGGCCAAACUGCUUUGGAAACCAACGUAAGCUGCAGAAGCGGUUUGUAACAAGGCAGGCACCUUGGUUUCCUGCACAAAGGAGAAGUCAAUUGAUCCACUUUGGUUUUUGCAAAUAAAAGGAUUGAUUGACUUCUUUGUGAAGAAGAGCAGUCAUCACCAAAAAAGGCAUUGUACAAAUUAUAGGCUUUAAAUCAAAACCCUUUACAUCUUCUCAGCAGGAUAGCUCUUUACCAGAUGUUCACUUUGAGAAGACACAGCACUAGGCGUAACACACUUGUUUCUAGUUUUCUCAAGUGCCACCUUAUACAGUGGUGCCUCGCUUAACGAAUGCCCUGCUUAACGAAAUUUCCGCUUAACGAAAGAAUUUUUCGAGCGGAGGUUGCGUCGCUAGACGAAUUCGUUUUAUGAAAAAUUCGUCUAGCGAAUCGCGGUUUCCCAUAGGAAUGCAUUGAAAUUCAAUUAAUGCGUUCCUAUGGGCAAAAAAAAAAUUCAAAAAAAUUCAAUGCAUUCCUAUGGGAUUCGCUAGACGAAUUUUUCGUUAUGAGAAAAGACCCGUGGAACGAAUUAAAUUCGUCUAGCGAGGCACCACUGUACAGAACUGUUUUAUUGGUCAAAAAACUAAUCCUGUUGAAUAAUACCUAAGAACUCUGUGUAUGCAAAGUCUUGGAUAGUGAACUAUAGUUCCAUGUGCUUAUCGCAGUUUGCUUUCGCUCUGUACACACAGCUCUGUUGGAAAAACAGUCAAUCUGCCAGUUUUACUGGAAGGA